GCCCUGCAAUUGGAUCCUACACAAGUCAAUCCCACAUGUGGGUGGGCGGUGGACUCAGAGCUGCGCACCCAGUAAAGUAAAGGUUGUACAACAAAAGCUUGCGGGAAAGUUGCACAUGCCAGCGAACGCGAAUUAUACUUAACAGUUACACCUCUCGCUAAAAGUGAAAACACGUUUCAGACCCGUUCAGCUCAGUUUCAUUCAAGACGCAAUGAUGUCAUGCCUGUGGAUCUUCGUCCUUGGGAGUUUAAUCGUGACUGGAGUGAAGAUGCAAGACGAUGGAGUGGAAAGUGCAGAGAAUGCAGCUGCAGACGCUGAAAAACCAGCUGAAGUUCCUGCACCUGAGGAAACACCUGAGGAAACACCUGAAGAAACACCUGAGGAAACACCUGAAGAAACACCUGAAGAAACACCUGAGGAAACACCUGAAGAAACACCUGAGGAAACACCUGAAGAAACACCUGAAGAAACACCUGAGGAAACACCUGAGGAACCAGCGGAGGAGGCAACAGCUCCUGCAGAGCCUGAAGCUGAAGACACAAACCCUGACACAGACGCCGCGACAGAAGAUGCUGAAGAAACACCAGCAGGUGAUCUGAUCUAAACAAAAAGACAUUACACUCCACAAACAACACUGAGAAUAACGAUUCAGAACAGCCACAGAAACCUGAGAGAUCAGGAGUUUCUAUCAGAUAAUGUGUCCCAUUUAUUCUCAGCCCUGAAAUAUUUCAUAGCCAGAAGCGGCUCUUUUUGAACGCAAUCUUCAAUGAAAUGAUUUCAAAAAUCCUUCAAAUAUCCUGUGACCAUGAAGGCCUGGAAAAGUCAUAGAAAUUCAUCAGUCGGUGGGCUGGGAAGCCUGUAAUAAUCGUGUGGUUUUGACUAUGACUUAUUUUCCUCUCUGUUCCGUUUCGCUGAAAAAGCAGACGCAGCAGAUCAGACAUACUGGUCUGGCAACUAAAUGAGUUUAAACACUAAAAUUACUAACUGGAAAUAAAAACUGAAGUCACUAACUGGAAAUAAAAUAACAAAGUAUUAAAGGGGUCAUAUGAUGCUUUUUUAAAGAUCAUUAUUUUGUGUAUUUGGUGUAACAGAAUAUGCUGACAUGCUUUAACGUUCAAAAAACACAUUAU
Molecule: long non-coding RNA, 1130 nt
Filed under: Sinocyclocheilus anshuiensis
Lineage: Eukaryota; Metazoa; Chordata; Actinopteri; Cypriniformes; Cyprinidae
Description: lncRNA (ENSSANG00000035304.1)
Source: RNAcentral